AAGAGUGAAAUCGGAUUUUCUUUUUAUAGAACUAUAUUUAAGUUGAGGCAGUAAAAUAUUGGGCAUAAACUAGGAUUAGAUACCCUAUUAUACCAGAAAAUAAUUUAACCAGACCAAAGUAAUAAUAGCUAUAUUCUAAAAAUUUGAAGAAUUUGGCGGUGAUUUAGUCUAGUCAGAGGAACCUGUUUUUGAAUCGAUAAACCACGAAUAAUCUUACUUAAGUAUGUAUACCAUCAUUAUUAGGUAAUUUUUAUAGAAGUAAUUACUGGAUAUUUGUUAAUAAUGUUAAAUAUAUUAGAUCAAGGUGCAGCUUAUACUUAAGUUAAAAUGGGUUACAAUAAAAUUUAUUUAUACGGAAUUAUAAAUUUGGAAGGAGGAUUUGAUUGUAAAUUAGUUUAAUAUGCUCAUUAGAUAUAAGCUCUAAAUCAUGUACAUAUCGCCCGUCGCUUUC
This 451-nucleotide ribosomal RNA is filed under the name Thalamita prymna. Its description in RNAcentral is "partial 12S small subunit ribosomal RNA". Lineage: Eukaryota; Metazoa; Arthropoda; Malacostraca; Decapoda; Portunidae. The record is from RNAcentral.